This 492-nucleotide ribosomal RNA is filed under the name uncultured bacterium. Its description in RNAcentral is "partial 16S ribosomal RNA". It matches the Rfam family "Bacterial small subunit ribosomal RNA", at positions 29 to 507 of the family's 1533-position model. The record is from RNAcentral.
AGUGAACGCUGGCGGUAGGCCUAACACAUGCAAGUCGAACGGCAGCACAGUAAGAGCUUGCUCUUACGGGUGGCGAGUGGCGGACGGGUGAGGAAUACAUCGGAAUCUACUUUUUCGUGGGGGAUAACGUAGGGAAACUUACGCUAAUACCGCAUACGACCUACGGGUGAAAGCAGUGGAUCUUCGGACCUUGCGCGAUUGAAUGAGCUGAUGUCGGAUUAGCUAGUUGGCGGGGUAAAGGCCCACCAAGGCGACGAUCCGUAGCUGGUCUGAGAGGAUGAUCAGCCACACUGGAACUGAGACACGGUCCAGACUCCUACGGGAGGCAGCAGUGGGGAAUAUUGGGCAAUGGGCGCAAGCCUGAUCCAGCCAUACCGCGUGGGUGAAGAAGGCCUUCGGGUUGUAAAGCCCUUUUGUUGGGAAAGAAAAGCAGCAGGUUAAUACCCCGCUGUUCUGACGGUACCCAAAGAAUAAGCACCGGCUAACUUCGUG